GUUUCAGCAGCCGCGGUAAUACAGAGGGUGCAAACGUUGUUCGGAAUUACUGGGCGUAAAGCGCGUGUAGGCGGCUAUGCAAGUCGGAUGUGAAAGCCCACGGCUUAACCGUGGAAGUGCACCCGAUACUACGUAGCUAGAGUCCUGGAGAGGAAGGCGGAAUGCUUGGUGUAGAGGUGAAAUUCGUAGAUAUCAAGCGGAACACCUGUGGCGAAGGCGGCCUUCUGGACAGUGACUGACGCUGAGACGCGAAAGCGUGGGGAGCAAACAGGAUUAGAAACCCCAGUAGUCC
Molecule: ribosomal RNA, 292 nt
Filed under: uncultured bacterium
Lineage: Bacteria
Description: partial 16S ribosomal RNA
Rfam family: Bacterial small subunit ribosomal RNA
Source: RNAcentral